Molecule: ribosomal RNA, 425 nt
Filed under: uncultured bacterium
Lineage: Bacteria
Description: bacterial SSU rRNA
Rfam family: Bacterial small subunit ribosomal RNA
Source: RNAcentral
CAACGAAUAUUCCGCAAUGGACGAAAGUCUGACGGAGCGACGCCGCGUGCAGGAUGAAGUCUUUCGGGAUGUAAACUGCUGUCGGGGGCGAGGAAGAAAGUGACCAGCCUCAAAGGAAGCAUCGGCUAACUCCGUGCCAGCAGCCGCGGUAAUACGGAGGAUGCAAGCGUUGUUCGGAAUCACUGGGCUUAAAGCGCGUGUAGGCGGAGUGUUAGGUGUCGUGUGAAAUCCCCGGUCUCAACCCGGGAACUGCGCGGCAUACCGGCAUUCUUGAGGCAAGCAGAGGUGACUGGAACGACGGGUGGAGCGGUGAAAUGCGUAGAUAUCCGUUGGAACGCCGGCGACGAAGGUGAGUCACUGGGCUUGUCCUGACGCUGAGACGCGAAAGCGUGGGUAGCAAACAGGAUUAGAUACCCGCGUAGUCC